CAUGCAGUCGCACGAGAAGGAGCAAUCCGAGUACAGUGGCGUAAGGGUGAGUAAUGGUUCGUCAACGUACCGAGCAGACGUGAAUAAUUUCCCGAAAGGGAUUGUAAUGCACGAUGAGACCACGGGGUGUACGCACUCUGGGGUCAAAGGUCGGGGAUCCUUCGGGACCCGGCGCUGUUUGAGCGGACGAACUCUGAUUAGCUAGUUGGCGGGGUAACGGCCCACCAAGGCUUUGAUCAGUAGCCGGGCUGAGAGGCUGUCCGGCCACACGGGCACUGAGAUACUGGCCCGACUCCUACGGGAGGCUGCAGUCGCGAAUUUUUCACAAUGGGCGCAAGCCUGAUGAAGCCACGCCGCGUGCGGGAUGAAGGCCCUCUGGGUUGUAAACCGCUGUCGAGGGAGGGGAACCGCUGGAUGUGAAUAGUAUCCAGUCUGACUGCUCUCUGAAGGAAGCCCCGGCAAAACAUGUGCCAGCAGCCGCGGUAAUACAUGUGGGGCAAGCGUUGUUCGGAAUUACUGGGCAUAAAGGGUGCGUAGGUGGUUUGUUAAGUCAGGGGUGAAAUCCCGCGGCCCAACCGUGGAACUGCCUUUGAUACUGGCGAACUUGAGUGCGUGAGGGGUAUGGGGAACGAGCAGUGUAGCGGUGAAAUGCGUAGAUAUUGCUCGG
RNAcentral lists this ribosomal RNA (667 nucleotides) under uncultured bacterium. Its description in RNAcentral is "bacterial SSU rRNA". It matches the Rfam family "Bacterial small subunit ribosomal RNA", at positions 54 to 704 of the family's 1533-position model. The record is from RNAcentral.